AAGAGGGAUGACUCCAAGCCUGGAAGCUAAAAUUAUUGGGUUCUCAUUUCUUCAAAAGAAUGCUGGCUUGCAGUGGGAAUGAAGGGCCUCAUUUACUUUCUACCUGGGCCCCUACCUGUGAACUCACCAUGCCCCCUUCCUAACAGGAUGGUGCUUGGAUUCCAAGGGUUUGUAUUCUUAGAGUGAGCAGGAAAGAAGCAAUGUCCUUUGUAUGGCACAUAUAUCCCUUUUGCCAUAUUCUAGGGGACUAACAAAUUACAAAUUAACUAACAUUCAAUCCAAGAUGAAGCUAUGUGUCACUUUUCGGUGGGAGGAGUGUCCAUAACAUUAUAAGCAGGAUGUGCAAGAGAAGAGACCGAGAGAGGAAAAUAAAUUGUGGAAAUCAGUGAAAAGUCCGAAAUACAGAGAUGGAGUUUUCCCAUGUUGCCCAUGCUGGUCUGGAACUCCUGAGCACAGAAACAACUGAAGAGUAGCAGAAUACAACUAUUCAUCCCCUAGGGCGCCUAAAUUUCCCAGCGUUCCUUUAGAAUCUGAUGAGAUGAGGUUUAGAUCUGAUGACCAUCAAAAGUAAUUUAAUUCUUUACAUUGAUUAUAUUAUAGAAUUGUUUUCAGAAAAGAUAGUCAAGAAAUUUUAGGAAAUGUAAUAUAUAACUAAUUGGUAUAGGCUAUAUGCUGUACCAAUAGGAUAUAUAAUAGGGUAUAUAAGCAAAGGUUAAUUAAACCAUCUAAAACUUAGGACUCAGGCCAAUCUUUUAAAUCAUUAGGGAUAUUCUCGGCAUGGACCUCAAGAGAUAGU
Pongo pygmaeus (Bornean orangutan) is the source of this 796-nucleotide long non-coding RNA. RefSeq lists it as uncharacterized. The transcript has 3 exons. The record is from RefSeq and is a predicted model, not a curated record. Lineage: Eukaryota; Metazoa; Chordata; Mammalia; Primates; Hominidae.